Molecule: long non-coding RNA, 603 nt
Organism: Vicia villosa (hairy vetch)
Lineage: Eukaryota; Viridiplantae; Streptophyta; Magnoliopsida; Fabales; Fabaceae
Exons: 5
Source: RefSeq, a predicted model, not a curated record
ACGAAUAAAUACUAACAAAGUAGUAAAUAUUACAGGAUUUACAUUAAAGAGGAGAAAUAAUGGAACAGGCAGAGGGAAUAUUUCAUCAUCAUUGAAGGAUGCCUUUCCUUUACUGUAACUCAAACCAUCGGUGCUUGGUGCUUCUUGACGCUGCGCGACUACCUCUACCGCAAAUCAUCUCCUUUCCCUUUUGAAUCGAUCUACUAUUGGUAAUAAUGAAUAUAAAGAGAAAGGAAGAGAUAUGUUAGAGACAUGGACAUGAGUUUUCUUAUUUUAAGUUACUAAAAGUCUGUUUUACAAGAAAUCAAGCUAAUGACAAAUGCAUUAAGAAUAUUUGAAGAGCUGCAAAUACUGGUUGGGGUGAGAAGGACAAUUCAAAAUGGGAUAAAAUUUAAAACCCUUAUAAGAAGUAUAUUGAUUUAAAUAUCCAUGGUCCUGUUGCUAAGAUCCCUGGAAACCUCUAUCUUUUUAUCUAUGAAUUUGGCAUUUAGUUUUAGAAUUUAUAGGUUCAACCAAUGUAAAACAAACUUUCUGUAAUGAUUAGAUUAGAAAAACAAUUGAUUUAACCAAUUAAUCAAUGUGUUCAGUUAUCGAUUGUUGGAA